AUCAUGAUGUUGAAGAACUAGAAAAAUUUGCCAAAGUGAAUCUCCUACAGCACAGAUCUAUAAUUUCACCAUUGGAAAUGUUUAGAUGUCCUCACUUGUAAUGGAGAAGGUUUAAGGCUCAAAGCAAGGAAUUAGGGGAUUUAUCAACAUACAUUGCAUUCUUCUUUCAUCCAUCAAGAUUAAGAUUUUAUAGGGUGCUUCUUUAGUGGCGCUAUUUUGGUUAGCCAUGAAGUACUACUUGUGCUAGCAGAAGGCAUCUUAGUCAAGCUGUGUAUGUGGUCUCUACUUGAGAUUUCUCAUCUUUAAGUUAAUCAGGACUUAUUACUGGUGGAGUGGUGGUGGUAUAGGACCUUAAAAUUAAUUUUUGACCGUGACAGUAUUUGCUAUUGCAGAACGAUUGGUUCUUGCAGGGUUUAGGAUCAAGGAGACAAGAACUUGGGAUUCCUUAUUUUGAUUAUCGAUUUUUGCUGUAAGUCAAUCAAUUCGCUAUUUGCUGUAAUUUUGGGCAAUUGGAUGAUUGUGUCUGAUCCUCUUCCUCCCACUUGCCUUGGUACUGUACUUUGGAUUCAAUCAAACGGGUAAAUUUUCUGAUCUAAA
This is a long non-coding RNA of Erigeron canadensis, 597 nucleotides long. RefSeq lists it as uncharacterized. The transcript has 4 exons. The record is from RefSeq and is a predicted model, not a curated record. Lineage: Eukaryota; Viridiplantae; Streptophyta; Magnoliopsida; Asterales; Asteraceae.